GACUUCUCUUCGCAGGAUUCCCUCUCUUAGGGUUCCUCCACGGUGUUCUCCAUGCCCGGUCGAGGGCUCCAGGACUUUGGGCGGUAAUGAGUCGGCUACAGUGGGUCUGAGCCGGCGCCGCGGACGAGUCCCUUCGUUUCAGCCAGUUUGGCUCGUUUAUUGAGAAAAGUGGGGGGCGAGGGGUUAGUAUGUAAGAAAGUCUUAAAGUUUCCACAUGGUUAAGGUAAUUUUAUCAACUCUUUCUUGCACCCCUCCCCCUAGUACAGGUUUCAGACCUAAAUAACCUAGAGUUCAGGAUCCAGACUUCAAAAUAUUCACUGCUUUUUCUGUUGUUUGUGAAAAAUAAGUGUUUUCUUUGAGCCCAGAUCGUGCUAUUGCACUCCAGCCUGGGCAACAGCCAAACCCUAUCCGAAAAAAAAAAAAAAAAAAAAAGCGCUUUCUUUUUCGACGCUUCUUGCUUCCCUUCAAUAAGUUGCUUGAGGAGCAACUUUGCAGCUUCGUAAUAACACUGUAAUUCAAGUAUUUGUUCAAGAAAGGCAAGUAAGAAGUCUUGGCACGGGGGUGGGGAAUAUAGGGAAAUGUUGGUCAAAUGAUACAAAGUUUCAGUCAGAGAAGGUGGAUGAGUUCUAUAGUUAAUAAUCAUAUAUUGUGUACUUGAAAUUGUGAAGAGGGUACACCUUAAAUGUUCUCACCACAGGAAAGUAUGUGAGAUGAUGGAUUAUGUUGAUUAGCUUCAUUUAAUUAUUUGCAGUGUGUGUGUGUAUAUAUAUGUAUAUCAAAACGUCACGUUGUAUACCAUAAACAUGAACAAUUUCUAUUUGUCACUUACACCUUAAAGCUGGAGUCGGGGGAAAGAAAUCAUUUAUCAGGCAGUAUAUGCUGGAAAGGGAAAUGCCAGCAUCUCAUUUCCAGUUGUUAAUGUGAUACCACUAGUCAAGUCCUUAACCUCUCAAGGCCUGUAUCUCUCCAGUAAAGUUCAUUCUUGGUCCUAGAUUAGGUUUGUAAGUCACCAAGGCAUUUCAAAGGUGCAGGAAAUGUAAAAAUAAGCCUUUUGAGUAUUAACCAAGAUUAGUUUUCCCCACCCUUUAUUUUCUGACUUCCUUCAUGGAUUCAGUAGGAGUUUAGUUUGGUCAUCCCUGGCCAAUCAGAUGUUUAGCACUAAUAAAACUGAGGAAGAACUCCAAGUAGCAAUCCUCUGGGAUCUGUUAGAUUUCUGAGAAAAGAAUGGUAAUUUUUAGCUUUCUUGUCAGCUUUCUGACAAGCUUUUUUUUUUUUUCACCUUAUCAGUUAUUUUCUAUGGAAAAGUCUUGGUCGUAAAUUCACUACAGCUGCUCUUUAGAAGUUCUUUUAUGGCCAGGCACAGGGGCUCACGCCUGUAAUCCCAGUACUUUGGGAGGCCGAGGUGGGUGGAUCACGAGGUCAGGAGUUCAAGACCAGCCUGGCCAAGAUGGUGAAACCCUGUCUCUACUAAAAAUACAAAAAUUAGCUGGGCGUGAUGUUGGGUGCCUGUGAUCCCAGCUACUCGGAAGGCUGAGGCAGAGAGUUGCUUGAACCUGGGAGGCAGAGGUUGCGGUGAGCCAAGAUCUCACCACUGCACUCCAGCCUGAGCAACAGAGUGAGACUCCAUCUCAAAAAAAAACCAAAAAAAACGGAGUUAUUUUACUACGUAGGUACUUUAGCAUAAUAUUUCCUGAGCACCCAGGGUUCCAUGGUGCUCUGCAGACCCUAUCAAUGUCAGAGACAGUAGUGAAUUGCUUACGAAAUGUUCUUGAAUGUAGAAUCUCCUCUGGGUAAAUGUGUUUGUGCUAUAUAUAACAUAAAUGAAGGGGAGCUGCAGGUAAUUGUGGAUAGGAAGGAAAAUCUUUUCUCCCAAGAGAGUGCAUUGUAACAAUCUAGCAGCUAGCAUAAUGUGUCUUUGAAAGAAAUAAAAUGAGAAAUUAGCUAUUUAAAAGUAAUUGAAGUUAAAAUGUGUGUACGUACAAAGGAAUAUUGUUCACCCUUUAAAAAGGAAUGAAAUUCUGAUACAUGCUACAACUUGGAUUAGACUUGAAGACCUUAUGCUAGGCGAAAUCUCAAGACACAGAAAGACAAAUAUUGUAUGAUUCUACUUAUGUUCGGUACCUAGAAUAGUCAAAUUCAUAGAAACAGAAAGUAGAAUAGUGAUUAUCUAGGGCUGGAGGAAAAGGGGAAUGAGGAGUUAAUGGGUUUAAUGGGUACACCAUUUCAGUUUGGGAUGAUAAUGAAGUUCUGGAGAUGGAUUGUAGUGAUGGUUGCACAACAGUGUGAAUGUAUUUAAUGUCACUGAAUUGUACACUUAAAAAUGGUUAAAAUGGUAAGUUUUAUGUUAGGAUAUUUUACCACAACAGAAAUAAUUUUUUAAGUUAAAGGGGGGAAAAAGGAAAAUAAUGGAAAUGUGAGUUCUUUGAGGGUCAGUACUCUCUUGUUCAGCCUAGCACCUGGCAUAUGCUCUAGAUACAUUUGUUUAGUAAAUAAGUAUUUAUUUUUUUAACUUUUAUUUUAAGUCCAGGGUGUAUGUGCAGGAUGUGCAGGUUUGUUAUAUAGGUAAACGUGUGCCAUGGGGAUCUGCUGUACACACCAUUUCGUCACCCAGAAUGUGACUGGAGCUAGGACCUUUAAGGAAGUGCUCAAGUUCAAUGAGGCUGUUAGGGUGGGCCCUAAUCCAGUCCUGACUGAUGGUUUUAUAAGAAGAGGGAAUUUGGAUACACAGACACCAGGGGCAGGUGCACACAAGAGAAACGGCCACGUGAAGACACAACAAGAAGGUGGCCAUCUGCAAACCAAGGAGAGAGGUUCAGAAGAAGCCAGACCUUCUGACACGUUGAUCUUGGACUACUAGCCUCCAGAAGUGUGAGGAAAUACAUUUCUAUUGUUUAAGCCACU
RNAcentral lists this long non-coding RNA (2901 nucleotides) under Homo sapiens (human). RNAcentral's name for it is "non-protein coding lnc-SYPL2-2:2". The record is from RNAcentral. Lineage: Eukaryota; Metazoa; Chordata; Mammalia; Primates; Hominidae.